This 478-nucleotide ribosomal RNA is filed under the name uncultured bacterium. RNAcentral describes it as "partial 16S ribosomal RNA". It matches the Rfam family "Bacterial small subunit ribosomal RNA", at positions 28 to 507 of the family's 1533-position model. The record is from RNAcentral.
GAUGAACGCUGGCGGCGUGCUUAACACAUGCAAGUCGAACGGGAAACCUUUUAAUGAAGCUUCGGCAGAUUUAGCUGGUUUCUAGUGGCGGACGGGUGAGUAACGCGUGGGUAACCUGCCUUAUACAGGGGGAUAACAGUCAGAAAUGACUGCUAAUACCGCAUAAGCGCACAGGACCGCAUGGUCCGGUGUGAAAAACUCCGGUGGUAUAAGAUGGACCCGCGUUGGAUUAGCUUGUUGGUGGGGUAACGGCUCACCAAGGCGACGAUCCAUAGCCGGCCUGAGAGGGUGAACGGCCACAUUGGGACUGAGACACGGCCCAGACUCCUACGGGAGGCAGCAGUGGGGAAUAUUGCACAAUGGGGGAAACCCUGAUGCAGCGACGCCGCGUGAAGGAAGAAGUAUCUCGGCAUGUAAACUUCUAUCAGCAGGGAAGAUAGUGACGGUACCUGACUAAGAAGCCCCGGCUAACUACGUG